RNAcentral lists this ribosomal RNA (271 nucleotides) under Pseudo-nitzschia fraudulenta. Its description in RNAcentral is "partial Bacterial small subunit ribosomal RNA". It matches the Rfam family "Bacterial small subunit ribosomal RNA", at positions 401 to 689 of the family's 1533-position model. The record is from RNAcentral. Lineage: Eukaryota; Bacillariophyta; Bacillariophyceae; Bacillariales; Bacillariaceae.
GUGAGUGAUGAAGGCCUUAGGGUCGUAAAGCUCUUUCGCCAGGGAUGAUAAUGACAGUACCUGGUAAAGAAGCCCCGGCUAACUUCGUGCCAGCAGCCGCGGUAAUACGAAGGGGGCUAGCGUUGUUCGGAAUCACUGGGCGUAAAGCGCACGUAGGCGGACUUUUAAGUCAGGGGUGAAAUCCCGGGGCUCAACCCCGGAACUGCCUUUGAUACUGUCAAUCUAGAGGUCGAGAGAGGUGAGUGGAAUUCCGAGUGUAGAGGUGAAAUUC